RNAcentral lists this long non-coding RNA (1243 nucleotides) under Sorghum bicolor (sorghum). Its description in RNAcentral is "long non-coding RNA (SBIC_LNC001823)". The record is from RNAcentral. Lineage: Eukaryota; Viridiplantae; Streptophyta; Magnoliopsida; Poales; Poaceae.
GUAAGUUGUACUCGAGGCAGUUAUGUUUGUUGUUAUCAUCCAAGAACUUGUAACCUGUCUUUAUCAUGUCAUGAACAUCUCAUUGAUCAUGCAUAUGCACCUCUACGUGUAGACUACGCUCCGGAGGAAUCUAAUCCUCAGUGGGUUGCUUCCGAGUUUGUGGAUCCAUCUGGUUUUGCUGAGUUGUCGGACUUCCCUUCCGGUCAAGGCAAGCCCCGGACAUUAAACCCUAUCCUUGUAUUUUCAUAAAGUCAUUUAUAUCACUUGAGUUAAUAUGAUGCAUUAGGUGAAUAGGAGUUGAGUGAAUCCUAUUUGCUGCAUUACCUACCUUGGUGAUUCUUAUAUUAACCUUGACACCUGUUUAUGAAAAUGCUUAGUAUGCUUAGCCCUGCUUAGUAGAUAGGUUUUCAAAUGAGAAAGUUUGAAGGGUUGUUGUGGAAUACUUUUAUGGUCAAUAAUGUUUCAACUUGAGACCGGUCGGUGGACUUGCUUUAAGAAUGGAGUCUUAAAGUAGUGUCUCCAACUGUGUCGAUUAAGGACCGUACCGUUGUUGGCCUGUUGUGAUUGAGAACUUUGAGUACAGCCCACAUGCGGCGGUAAGCCUUACCUAUAGCUAUUCCGAUACUUGAGAACGGCUAACCGCGUACUGGGAGUGGAGAGAUGGCGAGAGUAGCGUGUACCCACCUUACGGAUCUGAGAUGACCGGGAAACAUCUAGAUUGGCUGUAGGAUGGUGGUGUACUGUACUCUCGGGUGACGCUGGACCCGUUCUUGUAUGGGAGGAUCUAUAGAAACAGGUUGACAUAUGCAAGAUUAAGUUCUACAUAUGUCGUGUGGUACUGAAUCCCCAGCUGGGUUUAAUCGAUUCGAAUCGCCGUGUUUCCUCGGAUAUGGAGCCUCAAUCCUCACCCCAUCAUCGUAGUGAUAAAUAAACUUUGGUAUAAGAAAGAGGUGGUUUGCUUAUGAAAGUUUGAUAAUAGUUUUGGUUAGUCAUAAAUGAUGAUCUUGAGUUAAAACUUGAAAGUAGGUUUUACUCUUAGUAAGCUUUUAUGCAAAAGAAAUGCUUUAUCUUGAUAAAGCUUUACCUUGAAUCCCUAUAGCCUGCAUACCUGAGUCUUCACCUCUUUUCUAGUCGGUUAAGUCUUGUUGAGUACUUUUGUACUCAGGGUUUUAUAACCCCUGUUGCAGGUGCUGACUUAGACUGCUAAUGGAGGUCAUGUCGGUGGGCGCGACAUGAUUUAUCC